CCUACGGGAGGCAGCAGUAGGGAAUCUUCCACAAUGGGCGAAAGCCUGAUGGAGCAACGCCGCGUGGGUGAAGAAGGUCUUUGGAUCGUAAAACUCUGUUGUUAGAGAAGAAAGUGCGUGAGAGUAACUGUUCACGUUUCGACGGUAUCUAACCAGAAAGCCACGGCAAACUACGUGCCAGCAGCCGCGGUAAUACGUAGGUGGCAAGCGUUAUCCGGAUUUAUUGGGCGUAAAGGGAACGCAGGCGGUCUUUGACGGCUGAGGGGAAAGCCUUCGGCUUAACCGGAGUAGUGAAUUGGAAACUGUGAUACUGGAGUGCAGAAGAGGAGAGAGGAA
Molecule: ribosomal RNA, 336 nt
Filed under: uncultured bacterium
Lineage: Bacteria
Description: partial 16S ribosomal RNA
Rfam family: Bacterial small subunit ribosomal RNA
Source: RNAcentral